AGGUGAUUUCCUCCUUCUGUUCCGAGGAGGGGAUAAUGGAGUCGGGUGGCGGGGAGCUGGGAGAGAGCGGGCCCGGAUUGGGACCUGGCCUUGGGCCCGGGGCUGAAGCGAGUCCUGCAUGUGGAGUCACCGGCAUUCCUACCAACAACAGCUUCGGCAAACAAAAGGCGUUACCGAAAGGCCGCGAGUUUUUCAGAAACCAGCGAAAAGAUUCUGAGGGUUUCUCCGAAUCACCUGACCUGGAGUUUGAAUAUUCUGACAGUGAUAAAUGGGCAGCAGAACUUUCAGAGCUCUAUAGCUACACAGAGGGUCCUGAGCUUCACCUGAAUAGAAAAUGCUUUGAAGAAGAAUUCAAGACUCAUGUGAAAGACAAGAAAUGGAUUGAAGUGGAUAUCUCAGAGCAUCAGACACAUGCCAUGAGAUUGCUGGAUGGCCUAGAGGUAACUGCCAGGGAGAAAAGGCUGAAAGUGGCUCGUGCUAUACUUUAUAUGGCACAAGGUACUUUUGGUGAAUGUAACUCUGAAGAAGAGGUCCACCAAUGGAUGAGAUAUAAUAUAUUUCUGCUGCUUGAAGUUGGCACCUUUACUGCAUUGGUGGAACUACUCAGCAUGGAGAUUGACAACAGUGCAGCAUGUAGUAAUGCAGUGAGAAAGCCAGCAAUCUCUUUGGCUGACAGUACAGACCUAAGAGUGCUACUGAACAUAAUGUACCUGAUGGUGGAGACAAUCCGUCAGGAAACAGAAGAGGAUAAUCUGGAGUGGAGGGCAAUGAGGGAGACCUUCAGAACAGACCUAGGUGUAUCCCUGUACAACAAUGAACCAUUUUCAGUUAUGCUGUUUGGGAUGGUGACCAAAUUCUGCAGUGGCCAUGCUCCCCAUUUCCCCAUGAAGAAGGUUCUCUUAUUGCUUUGGAAAACUGUGUUGCUGUCGCUAGGAGGCUUUGAAGACUUGCAGGUUCUUAAAGUUAAGAAACGUGAGGCACUUGGUCUUCCACCACUCCCCGAAGACAGCAUUAAAGUGAUCCGUAACAUGAGAGCUGCCUCACCACCAGCAUCUGCCUCUGACCUAAUAGAGCAGCAGCAGAAACGGGCUCGUAGAGAGCACAAGGCACUGAUGAAGCAGGAUAAUUUGGAUGCUUAUAAUGAGAAAGACCCAUACAAAACAGAUGAUCCUCGUGAAGAUGAUGAUGAGAAUGAUGAUAAUGAUAACUCAAUUGAGGCAGAAACAUUCCCUUUAGAGAGGGAAGAGGUUUUGCCACCAGCGAUCCCACAUGCAACUGUUGAACGAUUAUCAGUCCCAAAGGGACUACCUUGGGCCCCAAAAGUGAGAGAAAAAGACAUUGAAACGUUUUUGGAAUCCAGCAGGAGUAAGUUCAUCGGUUAUACUUUAGGCAAUGACACGGAUACUGUUGUUGGAUUACCACGGCCCAUCCACGAAAGUAUCAAAACUCUUAAGCAGCACAAGUACAUUUCAAUAUCUGAAAUUCAGAUCAAGAAGGAGGAGGAAUAUUUGAAAAAGCCACUCUCUGCCGGAGAUGAAGAGUUUGACCUGACACCUGCUGAAAUUCUGUACCAGGGUAUACUACCCAGUCUGCCUCAAUACAUGAUUGCUUUACUAAAGAUCCUUCUGGCUGCAGCCCCAACCUCAAAAGCAAAGACUGAUUCAAUCAAUAUUCUUGCAGAUGUCCUGCCAGAAGAAAUGCCUACCACUGUGCUGCAGAGUAUGAAACUUGGAGUUGAUGUCAACAGACACAAAGAGAUCAUUGUAAAAGCAAUUUCUGCUGUCUUGUUAUUGUUACUUAAGCACUUCAAACUCAACCACAUCUAUCAAUUUGAAUACAUGGCACAGCACCUGGUUUUUGCCAAUUGCAUUCCACUUAUUUUAAAGUUUUUCAAUCAAAACAUCAUGUCCUACAUUACAGCAAAGAACAGUAUUUCGGUUCUGGAUUUUCCUUACUGUGUUGUACAUGAACUCCCUGAACUGACGGCAGAGAGCUUGGAAACAGGAGAUAAUAACCAGUUCUGCUGGAGGAAUCUCUUUUCGUGCAUAAACCUCCUUCGAAUCCUUAAUAAACUGACCAAAUGGAAACAUUCAAGGACAAUGAUGCUGGUAGUAUUUAAGUCAGCUCCAAUCCUGAAACGAGCACUCAAAGUGAAACAAGCCAUGAUGCAGUUAUAUGUUCUGAAGUUGCUGAAGGUACAGACCAAAUACUUGGGUCGCCAAUGGCGGAAGAGCAACAUGAAGACAAUGUCUGCAAUCUAUCAGAAGGUGCGCCAUCGACUGAAUGACGACUGGGCUUAUGGGAAUGAUCUUGACGCCCGUCCGUGGGAUUUUCAGGCUGAGGAAUGUGCAUUGAGAGCCAACAUUGAACGUUUUAAUAGUCGCAGAUAUGACAAAAAUCCAAGUAAUCCUGAUUUUGCUCCAGUGGAUAACUGUUUGCAGAGUGUACUGGGACAGCAGCUGGUGCUGCCAGAGGAAUUCCAAAUGAACUAUGACUUGUGGCUUGAGAGGGAAGUGUUCUCGAAACCAAUCAGCUGGGAGGAGCUUCUUCAAUGUUGCCUGAACUGAGUAUUUCUAGUAUGUUUUUCUAUUACCAUCUUAGUUUUGUGGAUCGAUUUCAACGUGUGCAAAUUAAUCAGUGCAAAAUUACCAAGAGUCAUCUUCACUGUUAAUUAUCUGACUGAAAAAAUGGAAUGAAAAUACUAGAAAUAGAAGAUGCUGCUGCCAAGGGUGUAGCUUGUAAAGCUGGAAGACCAAAGAGAGUCAAAGAUGGAUCUGUACCGCCGAGAUGGGCUGCACUUGAACCAGGAGCAGAGUCAGAGGGAGGAGCAGCCAGAGCACGGUAAUAUAAAUCUAACUUACCUUGGGGAUUCAUGGCCUUGUUUCCAGGAGUGGAGGCAGAGGGAGGUGUACCCGGAGCACCCAAAUCCAAACUGGAAAUGAUACUUUGAACCCUCUGAGACCUCAAACCAAGGUUCAAUUUGACUUCGCCCGUUAGUGUUGAAGAUCGCAGGCAAUGGUUGAAGGGCAAGUGAGAGAUCCUUACUGUCUGGUCCUUCCAGACUUGAAGCUUAAGACACCAUAUUGGUCAUCUCAGAGAUUCCUGAGUGCCUAAAAUAUCUGAUGAAAAUCAUCCUGCAGAUGUCCAAUCAGAAACAGUGAAGGGGAAGAAUCAAAAUUGUUUCUAAAAGUUGAGUGGAUAUUUGAGUUAUUAUUUUCUAAAAGAAUGUUGGGAAAGAUUAAAGAAUUAAACUCCAA
Molecule: RNA transcript, 3257 nt
Organism: Rhincodon typus (whale shark)
Lineage: Eukaryota; Metazoa; Chordata; Chondrichthyes; Orectolobiformes; Rhincodontidae
Gene: strip1
Gene name: striatin interacting protein 1
Exons: 26
Source: RefSeq, a predicted model, not a curated record